Molecule: long non-coding RNA, 1929 nt
Filed under: Homo sapiens (human)
Lineage: Eukaryota; Metazoa; Chordata; Mammalia; Primates; Hominidae
Description: HSALNT0152695
Source: RNAcentral
AUAGUUGCCUGAAAACACUUGUUAGAUAAUACCCUAUCUGAUUUAUCUUGGUGUUAGUGUCUGUUAUUUUUUUUCUCAUUUCUGUGGGAUUUUUCUGAUUCUUGGCAUGUCAAGCAUUUUUUAAAUUGUAUCCCAGAUAUUUUCUAUAUUAUGAGACCAUGAAUCCUAGUUAACCUUUUUUAAGUGGGUAUAGUGCCAGGGUCAGGUGGGUGUGUUUGUUCAGCUUCCUAAUAGACUCCUCCAAACCAUCCUGGUAAAAAUGGGGCACUGACUCACACUGCAUUGUUGCAGAUGGGUGGGGUGAAAGUUCAAGUCCUUCUUCAUCCCACAGUCAUCUUCCUGGUCAAAGUGGGACGCUGACUCACACCACCUUGUUGCUAUGAGUAGGAGUGGAGGGUCAGCUUGGCUCUGCAUAUUGUUGAUAUCAGGAAAGGGGAGAAGCAAAACAUCAGCUACCCUUCCUUAUGACACUCUAUUCUGCCUUGUUGUUGCCAAGUGGAGGUGAAGGGUCAGCACCCAAUGGACCUUCAUGACAGGGCCUGGAGGGGUGAAGCCUCAUUGUAACCAGCUCUGCCUUUUACUGCAUUGUCAAAUUUCAUUGCUGCUGGGUGGGGGUGAAGGCUCAGCUCACUGUUUGACCCCACUGACACUACCCCUGUGGGGGAAUCAGAGCACUGUCUGCUUCCAGGCAAGGCAUGGAAUCUCAGCUCCUCCUGCCACCCACUUCUGCCAGGCAGAGGAUGCAAGAUUAGCUCUGUGCUCGGCCCUGCCAAUACCACCAGAUUGGGAAAUCAGAGUUCCCUUGCUUGCUUCCACAGGGUAGAGGGUAGUACAGCUUUUCUGUUGGUGUUUGGCUGGUGUAGGGCUGAUAUUGCUAAAAGCUUUUCUAUUCAUAGCCCAUCCAUUCCAAGACCUUUGGCUAAAGAGAACACACUUUUCUUAAGGCUUUUGUUUCAUUGUCUGUGCCUAUUGGUAGUUCUGGGUUGGAGGUUUCUGUAGUGCCCUGUCCAUGGCAUAUGAGAAGCAGAAGGAAACAGAGAACUCAUCACCCUGCAGUUCAUCAACUCUUGAUGUCUCUGGACAGCCCAUCUUCUUCCAUGUAUCUUUUCAGAGUUUUGCUAUGCUUGUUUAUUGUUUUGUUUCCAAAGAUUUCUAUGUGUAGUAGGAAGGACUUUUAUUUUUUAUGUCGUUAGUUUUUCUGAACUUUCAGAAAGAGAUGUGAAGGUUUCUGAAUUUUCUGAAAGAGGUGUGAAAAGCCUUUCAAACUUCACAGAGCUCCCUUCUAUUGGUUGUGUCUAGGGCUCAAAAAUAUGUCAACUUGGCUUUCUGAGAUGUUCUGCCUUUAUUCUCCUCCGUCCCUUUAGUCUAAACCUUCUCUCUCUGUCACCUUUGUUGUCCCUAUCCUGCUUGAUUUUCAUUCCACUAGAAGCAGUCUCUCUUCAGUGUAGGUCCCUGCCCUAAAAGGGAUCCCUGGCAGGUGAUUUCAGAGGAGCUACACUGCUCCAUCCCCUUCAGCUUAUCUUACACAAGCCCCUUGAGCCCUACUGGUAUUGGAGAAAACAAACCCCUCCUUUUAGAGCUGCUGUUCUGGAAUCAUCCCACCAAUGCUUUCCUUGCUUCCUCCUACACAAGAUGUCACUUGUAGUCAGGUGGCUUGUCUCCACACCCCAUAUUUUGGGAUUCAUGAAAACAUCCUGUCACCAUGUUUUUAAAAAAUAUAUUGUCCUUGGUGUUUCGUGUUUAGUUUUGUUUCGAUGUCUAGCUGCUUUGUCUUUCCUUUUUUUAAUGUGGCAAUGCAAAGAAACUAAACAACUUUACUGCAACUGUUGUCUUGCAGAAUUCUGUCUUUUCAUUCUUCAUCUCCUAUUGUCCAUUCUUCUCAUGACAGCCAGUGUGGUGUCUUCUCUGCAUUGUUCCUUCAUGAACAAG